CUUAACUACGGUUGAGGGAGAAUAGGGAAUCGGGUGUAAAUCCCGGACGGUAACGCCGCUGUAACGAGCGACAAGGGUCUAUAUAAGCCACUACUCAUGUGUGGGAAGGCUAGACCUAAGGAUGACCUCGAAGCCAGAAGACCUGCUUUAUCU
This 153-nucleotide non-coding RNA is filed under the name zebrafish metagenome. The record is from RNAcentral.